AAGUUGGCCUUUAAUUGAGGUCGAGUAUGAAUGGGUAUACGGAUAAACCCUGUCUUAUUUAGAAUUUUAUAAAUUUUCUAAGAAGGUGAAAAUUCCUUCAUAUAUAUGAAAGACGAGAAGACCCUUAGAGUUUUUAUUAAUAGGAAUUUAUUUUUCGUUACUUUUUUGUUGGGGCGACAUAGAAGCAUAACUAACCUUCUUUAAUAAACUUAUACAAAUGAAUAAUUAUAUAUGACAAAACUACCUGAGGGAUAACAGCAUAAUUUAAAUAUAAGAUUG
This 279-nucleotide ribosomal RNA is filed under the name Megalobulimus oblongus musculus. Its description in RNAcentral is "partial 16S ribosomal RNA". Lineage: Eukaryota; Metazoa; Mollusca; Gastropoda; Stylommatophora; Megalobulimidae. The record is from RNAcentral.